This 405-nucleotide unclassified non-coding RNA is filed under the name soil metagenome. Its description in RNAcentral is "partial contains 5.8S ribosomal RNA, internal transcribed spacer 2, and large subunit ribosomal RNA". The stretch from base 1 to 121 matches the Rfam family "5.8S ribosomal RNA", at positions 35 to 154 of the family's 154-position model. The record is from RNAcentral.
GAUGAAGAACGUAGCGAAAUGCGAUAAGUAAUGUGAAUUGCAGAAUUCAGUGAAUCAUCGAAUCUUUGAACGCACCUUGCGCCCUUUGGCCAUUCCGAAGGGCAUGCCUGUUUGAGUAUCAUGAACACCUCAACUCUUUAUGGUUUUCCAUGAUGAGCUUGGACUCUGGGGGUUUUGCUGGCUCACAGUCGGCUCCUCUAAAAUGAAUCGGCUUACCAGUGUUUGGUGGGUAUCAUGGGUGUGAUAACUAUCUACGCUUGUGGUUUUUCCACCAGGUAACCUUCAGCAGUGGAGGUUCGCUGGAGCUCAUAGAUGUCUCUCCUCAGUGAGGACAGCCCUUUGAAUGUUUGAUCUCAAAUCAGGUAGGACUACCCGCUGAACUUAAGCAUAUCAAUAAGCGGAGGA